This 305-nucleotide ribosomal RNA is filed under the name uncultured bacterium. Its description in RNAcentral is "bacterial SSU rRNA". It matches the Rfam family "Bacterial small subunit ribosomal RNA", at positions 336 to 656 of the family's 1533-position model. The record is from RNAcentral.
CUCCUACGGGGCGCAGCAGUGGGGAAUAUUGCGCAAUGGGGGCAACCCUGACGCAGCAACGCCGCGUGCAGGAAGAAGGUCUUCGGAUUGUAAACUGUUGUCGCAGGGGAAGAAGACAGUGACGGUACCCUGUGAGAAAGUCACGGCUAACUACGUGCCAGCAGUCGCGGUAAUACGGAGGAUGCGAGCGUUAUCCGGAUUUAUUGGGUUUAAAGGGUGCGUAGGCGGAAUGCCAAGUCAGCGGUAAAAUCGCGGGGCUCAACCUCGCUCCGCCGUUGAAACUGGCGUUCUUGAGUGGGCGAGAG